GGCCUGGAGUUGUGGAGUCGGAUAUCGCGGCUCCCGGCUGAGCUGCGCCUGCGCAACUCAUUGGCGCCAAGAUGGCGAUGGAGAUGAGGCUUCCAGUGGCUCGCAAGCCUCUUAGCGAGAGACUGGGCCGCGACACCAAGAAACAUCUAGUGGUGCCGGGGGAUACAAUCACUACGGACACGGGAUUCAUGCGGGGCCAUGGAACGUAUAUGGGAGAAGAGAAGCUCAUUGCAUCUGUUGCUGGCUCUGUGGAGAGAGUGAACAAGUUGAUCUGUGUGAAAGCUUUGAAAACCAGAGGAGAAGAUCUGCAGAAGAUGAGCUUGCAAUGAGAGGUUUCUUACAGGAAGGGGACCUUAUCAGUGGGGUUUUGGUCCAGGUUUCCCCCUCCCUGGUGAAACGGCAGAAGACCCACUUUCAUGAUUUGCCAUGUGGUGCCUCAGUGAUUCUCGGUAACAACGGCUUCAUCUGGAUUUACCCAACACCUGAGCACAAAGAAGAGGAAGCAGGGGGCUUCAUUGCAAACCUGGAGCCUGUCUCUCUUGCUGAUCGAGAGGUGAUAUCCCGGCUUCGGAACUGCAUCAUCUCGCUGGUAACUCAGAGGAUGAUGCUGUAUGAUACCAGCAUCCUGUACUGCUAUGAAGCAUCCCUUCCACAUCAGAUCAAAGACAUCUUAAAGCCAGAAAUAAUGGAGGAGAUUGUGAUGGAAACACGCCAGAGGCUUUUAGAACAGGAGGGAUAA
This 739-nucleotide small RNA is filed under the name Pongo abelii (Sumatran orangutan). RNAcentral's name for it is "processed transcript". The record is from RNAcentral. Lineage: Eukaryota; Metazoa; Chordata; Mammalia; Primates; Hominidae.